Molecule: ribosomal RNA, 518 nt
Filed under: uncultured rumen bacterium
Lineage: Bacteria
Description: bacterial SSU rRNA
Rfam family: Bacterial small subunit ribosomal RNA
Source: RNAcentral
GGGGCAGCAGGGGGUAGCAAUACCCCGCUGGCGACCGGCGCACGGGUGCGUAACGCGUAUGCAACCUGCCUCCAACAGGGGGAUAACCCAGAGAAAUCCGGACUAAUACCCCGUAUAGUAGCGAGACCGCAUGAUCUUGCUACGAAAGUUUCGGCGGUUGGAGAUGGGCAUGCGUGACAUUAGCUAGUUGGUGAGGUAACGGCCCACCAAGGCUGCGAUGUCUAGGGGAGCUGAGAGGCUAAUCCCCCACACUGGUACUGAGACACGGACCAGACUCCUACGGGAGGCAGCAGUGAGGAAUAUUGGUCAAUGGUCGGAAGACUGAACCAGCCAUGCCGCGUGAGGGAAGAAGGCCCUACGGGUUGUAAACCUCUUUUGCACGGGAGUAAUAAGAGCCUUGCGAGGCCCGAUGAGAGUACCGUGCGAAUAAGCAUCGGCUAACUCCGUGCCAGCAGCCGCGGUAAUACGGAGGAUGCGAGCGUUAUCCGGAUUUAUUGGGUUUAAAGGGUGCGUANGCG